CAGGACGAACGCUGGCGGCGUGCUUAACACAUGCAAGUCGAACGGAAAGGCCCUUCGGGGUACUCGAGUGGCGAACGGGUGAGUAACACGUGGGUGAUCUGCCCUGCACUUUGGGAUAAGCCUGGGAAACUGGGUCUAAUACCGAAUAGGACCACGCGCUUCAUGGUGUGUGGUGGAAAGCUUUUGCGGUGUGGGAUGGGCCCGCGGCCUAUCAGCUUGUUGGUGGGGUAAUGGCCUACCAAGGCGACGACGGGUAGCCGGCCUGAGAGGGUGACCGGCCACACUGGGACUGAGAUACGGCCCAGACUCCUACGGGAGGCAGCAGUGGGGAAUAUUGCACAAUGGGCGCAAGCCUGAUGCAGCGACGCCGCGUGAGGGAUGACGGCCUUCGGGUUGUAAACCUCUUUCAAUAGGGACGAAGCGUGAGUGACGGUACCUAUAGAAGAAGCACCGGCCAACUACGUG
This 465-nucleotide ribosomal RNA is filed under the name uncultured bacterium. RNAcentral's name for it is "bacterial SSU rRNA". It matches the Rfam family "Bacterial small subunit ribosomal RNA", at positions 25 to 507 of the family's 1533-position model. The record is from RNAcentral.